Molecule: long non-coding RNA, 261 nt
Organism: Rhipicephalus sanguineus (brown dog tick)
Lineage: Eukaryota; Metazoa; Arthropoda; Arachnida; Ixodida; Ixodidae
Exons: 3
Source: RefSeq, a predicted model, not a curated record
CGAUAUUCAAACGGCAACAGUAUUUCUGCAGUUGGAUAUUCGGUGAACCCAUCAUGAAGGCCAACCUGGGAAAGAAUCUUGCUAUGGUUGUCGCUAUCGUUUUAGCGGUAUUAAUUGUGGUGCCCAGCCAAGUCGACGCGGUCUUCUUUGGACCACACACUGGGAGAAAAGACUGGGAGCCGGCUGAGUGAAUCUUCGGUCUGGGUUUUUUGGUUGAGGUAGAAAGAACCGCUGUACUAUGCAGUGAAAUAAACUAAUAGA